RNAcentral lists this long non-coding RNA (210 nucleotides) under Mytilus galloprovincialis (Mediterranean mussel). The record is from RNAcentral. Lineage: Eukaryota; Metazoa; Mollusca; Bivalvia; Mytilida; Mytilidae.
AAACAGCAAUAAUGUUCAGCAAAGUAAGAUCUACAAAUAAGUCAACAUGACCAAAAUUGUCAGUUGACCCCUUAAGGAGUUAUUGUUCUUUAUAGUCAUUUUUUUAAAUUUUCAUAAAUUUUUGAAAAUUUUUGUAAUUUUUUAGAAUAUGUUUUCCACUGUAAUUACUGGGCCAAGUUCAUUAUAGAUAGAGUUAAUUGUAGCAAGAAG